GUAAAUUACAGUCACUAAGUGUCAGCUGAAGAUACACUAUUUGAUGACUAUUUCAUGGCCUUUGUGAACAUAUUACUCUGGAAGCACUUUCCUUAUUUAUACACCUAUUACAUGUCUGCUUCUGGCAGCACCAAUCUACUUCAGAGAAGAUAUGGGCAUUGAAAAAAAUGCAUAUGGAUUUAACUUUCACUGUGGCAAAAGUUAGCCACUGGGCAAUAAAGUGCCCUGGCAUCGACUGCUAUACAGUAUGCUAUCUAAAAUGGACAAGCAGGACACAAAACAAAGGACUACCAAUCCUUGCCAAGACAAGUGUGGUUGCAGCUUUGGCAACAGGCAUCCUCUGAGGCCAGGACAAUAUGGCACCAUUGCUGAAGUGGCUUUGCAAUCCGGAAAGGGUACAGUGCCCCUUUCUUUGAAGGCAGCUGAAGAGGCAGUGGAUCAAUGGCUUUUGCCAUGCAGUGGAACAGUAGCUGAAACAAUUAUUCUUGAAGAAAUAACUAGGCUGACUGGGUCUAACCUCUCAAUGAUAGACUGGCAUUUAAUAAAGAAGAUGAAGCCACCCACAAGCUGGGAAGAAUGGGAGGCUGAAUUCCAAAAACACCAGCAAUUUCCAGAAUUUAGAAUCCUGAAUCAUGACAGGACACUGGUGGAAUUCAAGUUUAUCUGGUACAUGGAAUACUCAAAAUGAAUGUUGAAUAGAGCUGCAGGCCUUGCAUAUAUCCUACUUCACAAAUGAGUCUGUCAGACACGCUAAGCCUAUAAGCUGAAGAUGAUGCCCCAACAUGCAAAGAAACCUCGGGUGACUGUCCAAGAACCUGGCUGUUUCUGUCAUAACUCAUUUUUUGGAAGUCACUUGUUUGCACUUCCUGUUUUACUAGGUAAUGUUAUUUCCUUCUUGAGUCUCUGAGGGAGUUGAAGAUUAGAUAGUUAAAGUUACCGUUUUCCUUGCUAAGAAAUUCAGAAAAGAAACUCAGUAAGAGGUGUUUACUGUAUAAUUUUAAAAGACAUCAAAAGAUAGUUUUCCAUUGGUAAUAUAAGUUAGCAUAGAAAGUUAAUUAGGUACAUUUUGAACCUACCUAAUAGGAUAGAUAAUGGAUAGAUAGGAUAGGAAUGGAAUGCAAAUGGACUAGACAUUGUUGAUGUAUUUAUUGCUUGUAUAUAUUGUAUAUAGUUAUUGUA
This is a long non-coding RNA of Peromyscus eremicus (cactus mouse), 1179 nucleotides long. RefSeq lists it as uncharacterized. The transcript is spliced from 2 exons. NCBI's taxonomy places the organism in Eukaryota, Metazoa, Chordata, Mammalia, Rodentia, Cricetidae. The record is from RefSeq and is a predicted model, not a curated record.